Molecule: ribosomal RNA, 497 nt
Filed under: uncultured bacterium
Lineage: Bacteria
Description: partial 16S ribosomal RNA
Rfam family: Bacterial small subunit ribosomal RNA
Source: RNAcentral
GAUGAACGCUGGCGGCGUGCCUAAUACAUGCAAGUCGAGCGAACAGACGAGGAGCUUGCUCCACUGACGUGAGCGGCGGACGGGUGAGUAGCACGUGGACAACCUACCUCUAAGACUGGGAUAACUGCGGGAAACCGGAGCUAAUACCGGAUAAUAUAUUGAACCGCAUGGUUCAAUAGUGAAAGACGGGUUUGCUGUCACUUCUAGAUGGAUCCGCGCCGCAUUAGCUAGGUGGUAAGGUAACGGCUUACCAAGGCAACGAUGCGUAGCCGACCUGAGAGGGUGAACGGCCACACUGGAACUGAGACACGGUCCAGACUCCUACGGGAGGCAGCAGUAGGGAAGCUUCCGCAAUGGGCGAAAGCCUGACGGAGCAACGCCGCGUGAGUGAUGAAGGUCUUCGGAUCGUAAAACUCUGUUAUUAGGGAAGAACAAAUGUGUAAGUAACUAUGCACGUCUUGACGGUACCUAGUCAGAAAGCCACGGCUAACUACGUG